UGGUGUUGUGUUAUUAUUCCAAUUAACACACAAGAGGGAAACCGGUCAGAAUCCGGUACAGUACCCGCUACUGUGAUGCCUGUUUCUUCUGCAAAGAAGAAUUAUACGGAUAAAUUCUUACACCACUGUUCCGUUAAACGAGGGAUGGGAAGGUAUUUGUCCGGGGCGAGUCAGGAGACCUACCAAAAUAAG
RNAcentral lists this non-coding RNA (192 nucleotides) under uncultured Gabonibacter sp. Lineage: Bacteria; Pseudomonadati; Bacteroidota; Bacteroidia; Bacteroidales; Porphyromonadaceae. The record is from RNAcentral.